GAUGAACGCUGGCGGCGUGCCUAAUACAUGCAAGUCGAGCGAACGGACGAGAAGCUUGCUUCUCUGAUGUUAGCGGCGGACGGGUGAGUAACACGUGGAUAACCUACCUAUAAGACUGGGAUAACUUCGGGAAACCGGAGCUAAUACCGGAUGAUAUUUUGAACCGCAUGGUUCAAAAGUGAAAGACGGUCUUGCUGUCACUUAUAGAUGGGUCCGCGCUGCAUUAGCUAGUUGGUAAGGUAACGGCUUACCAAGGCAACGAUGCAUAGCCGACCUGAGAGGGUGAUCGGCCACACUGGAACUGAGACACGGUCCAGACUCCUACGGGAGGCAGCAGUAGGGAAUCUUCCGCAAUGGGCGAAAGCCUGACGGAGCAACGCCGCGUGAGUGAUGAAGGUCUUCGGAUCGUAAAACUCUGUUAUUAGGGAAGAUCAUAUGUGUAAGUAACUGUGCACAUCUUGACGGUACCUAAUCAGAAAGCCACGGCUAACUACGUG
RNAcentral lists this ribosomal RNA (497 nucleotides) under uncultured bacterium. Its description in RNAcentral is "partial 16S ribosomal RNA". It matches the Rfam family "Bacterial small subunit ribosomal RNA", at positions 28 to 507 of the family's 1533-position model. The record is from RNAcentral.